Molecule: ribosomal RNA, 406 nt
Filed under: uncultured bacterium
Lineage: Bacteria
Description: partial 16S ribosomal RNA
Rfam family: Bacterial small subunit ribosomal RNA
Source: RNAcentral
AUUGAACGCUGGCGGCAGGCCUAACACAUGCAAGUCGAACGAGUGGCGGACGGGUGAGUAAUGCCUGGGAAACUGCCUGAUGGAGGGGGAUAAAUACUGGAAACGGUAGCUAAUACCGCAUACCAUCAGAUGUGCCCAGAUGGGAUGAGCUUGUUGGUGGGGUAACGGCUCACCAGGGCGACGAGCCCUAGCUGGUCUGAGAGGAUGACCAGCCACACUGGAACUGAAACCCGUUCCAGACUCCUACGUGAGGCAGCAGUGGGGAAUAUUUCAACAUGGGCGCAAGCCUGCUGCAGCCAUGCCGCGUGUAUGAAGCAGGCCUUCGGGUUGUAAAGUACUUUCAGCGGGGGGGCGUUACCCGCAGAAGAAGCACCGGCUAACUCCGUGCCAGCAGCCGCGGUAAUUC